This 497-nucleotide ribosomal RNA is filed under the name uncultured bacterium. Its description in RNAcentral is "partial 16S ribosomal RNA". It matches the Rfam family "Bacterial small subunit ribosomal RNA", at positions 28 to 507 of the family's 1533-position model. The record is from RNAcentral.
GAGGAAAGGGGGAGGCGUGCCUAAUACAUGCAAGUCGAGCGAACAGACGAGGAGCUUGCUCCUCUGACGUUAGCGGCGGACGGGUGAGUAACACGUGGAUAACCUACCUAUAAGACUGGGAUAACUUCGGGAAACCGGAGCUAAUACCGGAUAAUAUAUUGAACCGCAUGGUUCAAUAGUGAAAGACGGUUUUGCUGUCACUUAUAGAUGGAUCCGCGCCGCAUUAGCUAGUUGGUAAGGUAACGGCUUACCAAGGCAACGAUGCGUAGCCGACCUGAGAGGGUGAUCGGCCACACUGGAACUGAGACACGGUCCAGACUCCUACGGGAGGCAGCAGUAGGGAAUCUUCCGCAAUGGGCGAAAGCCUGACGGAGCAACGCCGCGUGAGUGAUGAAGGUCUUCGGAUCGUAAAACUCUGUUAUUAGGGAAGAACAAAUGUGUAAGUAACUAUGCACGUCUUGACGGUACCUAAUCAGAAAGCCACGGCUAACUACGUG